AGAAAUGUACACUUGAUACCUAUAUAAUCUUAUCAACCAAUGUCACCCCAUAAAUUUAAUAAGUAAAUAAAUGAUUUGAAAAUUAAGUAGG
This is a long non-coding RNA of Myotis brandtii (Brandt's bat), 91 nucleotides long. RefSeq lists it as uncharacterized. Lineage: Eukaryota; Metazoa; Chordata; Mammalia; Chiroptera; Vespertilionidae. The transcript is spliced from 3 exons. The record is from RefSeq and is a predicted model, not a curated record.